GAAGAGGGAAACAACCCAGACCGCCAGCUAAGGUCCCAAAGUCAUGGUUAAGUGGGAAACGAUGUGGGAAGGCACAGACAGCCAGGAUGUUGGCUUAGAAGCAGCCAUCAUUUAAAGAAAGCGUAAUAGCUCACUGGUCGAGUCGGCCUGCGCGGAAGAUGUAACGGGGCUAAACCAUGCACCGAAGCUGCGGCAGCGACACUAUGUGUUGUUGGGUAGGGGAGCGUUCUGUAAGCCUGCGAAGGUGUGCUGUGAGGCAUGCUGGAGGUAUCAGAAGUGCGAAUGCUGACAUAAGUAACGAUAAAGCGGGUGAAAAGCCCGCUCGCCGGAAGACCAAGGGAUCCUGUCCAACGUUAAUCGGGGCAGGGUGAGUCGACCCCUAAGGCGAGGCCGAAAGGCGUAGUCGAUGGGAAACAGGUUAAUAUUCCUGUACUUGGUGUUACUGCGAAGGGGGGACGGAGAAGGCUAUGUUAGCCGGGCGACGGUUGUCCCGGUUUAAGCAUGUAGGCUGGUUGUCCAGGCAAAUCCGGAUAAUCAAGGCUGAGGUGUGAUGACGAGGCACUACGGUGCUGAAGUAACAAAUGCCCUGCUUCCAGGAAAAGCCUCUAAGCAUCAGGUAACAUCAAAUCGUACCCCAAACCGACACAGGUGGUCAGGUAGAGAAUACCAAGGCGCUUGAGAGAACUCGGGUGAAGGAACUAGGCAAAAUGGUGCCGUAACUUCGGGAGAAGGCACGCUGGUGUGUAGGUGAAGUCCCUGCGGAUGGAGCUGAGACCAGUCGAAGAUACCAGCUGGCUGCAACUGUUUAUUAAAAACACAGCACUGUGCAAACACGAAAGUGGACGUAUACGGUGUGACGCCUGCCCGGUGCCGGAAGGUUAAUUGAUGGGGUUAUCCGUAAGGAGAAGCUCUUGAUCGAAGCCCCGGUAAACGGCGGCCGUAACUAUAACGGUCCUAAGGUAGCGAAAUUCCUUGUCGGGUAAGUUCCGACCUGCACGAAUGGCGUAAUGAUGGCCAGGCUGUCUCCACCCGAGACUCAGUGAAAUUGAACUCGCUGUGAAGAUGCAGUGUACCCGCGGCAAGACGGAAAGACCCCGUGAACCUUUACUAUAGCUUGACACUGAACAUUGAGCCUUGAUGUGUAGGAUAGGUGGGAGGCUUUGAAGCGUGGACGCCAGUCUGCGUGGAGCCAACCUUGAAAUACCACCCUUUAAUGUUUGAUGUUCUAACGUUGGCCCCUUACCGGGGUUGCGGACAGUGUCUGGUGGGUAGUUUGACUGGGGCGGUCUCCUCCCAAAGCGUAACGGAGGAGCACGAAGGUUAGCUAAUCCUGGUCGGACAUCAGGAGGUUAGUGCAAUGGCAUAAGCUAGCUUGACUGCGAGCGUGACGGCGCGAGCAGGUGCGAAAGCAGGUCAUAGUGAUCCGGUGGUUCUGAAUGGAAGGGCCAUCGCUCAACGGAUAAAAGGUACUCCGGGGAUAACAGGCUGAUACCGCCCAAGAGUUCAUAUCGACGGCGGUGUUUGGCACCUCGAUGUCGGCUCAUCACAUCCUGGGGCUGAAGUAGGUCCCAAGGGUAUGGCUGUUCGCCAUUUAAAGUGGUACGCGAGCUGGGUUUAGAACGUCGUGAGACAGUUCGGUCCCUAUCUGCCGUGGGCGCUGGAGAAUUGAGGGGGGCUGCUCCUAGUACGAGAGGACCGGAGUGGACGCAUCACUGGUGUUCGGGUUGUCAUGCCAAUGGCACUGCCCGGUAGCUAAAUGCGGAAGAGAUAAGUGCUGAAAGCAUCUAAGCACGAAACUUGCCCCGAGAUGAGUUCUCCCUGAGACUUUAAGUCUCCUGAAGGAACGUUGAAGACGACGACGUUGAUAGGCCGGGUGUGUAAGCGCAGCGAUGCGUUGAGCUAACCGGUACUAAUGAACCGUGAGGCUUAACCUU
This 1934-nucleotide ribosomal RNA is filed under the name Klebsiella pneumoniae UCI 62. RNAcentral describes it as "bacterial LSU rRNA". It matches the Rfam family "Bacterial large subunit ribosomal RNA", at positions 1012 to 2925 of the family's 2925-position model. The record is from RNAcentral. Lineage: Bacteria; Pseudomonadati; Pseudomonadota; Gammaproteobacteria; Enterobacterales; Enterobacteriaceae.